RNAcentral lists this ribosomal RNA (253 nucleotides) under uncultured bacterium. RNAcentral describes it as "partial 16S ribosomal RNA". It matches the Rfam family "Bacterial small subunit ribosomal RNA", at positions 524 to 776 of the family's 1533-position model. The record is from RNAcentral.
UACGUAGGGUGCAAGCGUUAAUCGGAAUUACUGGGCGUAAAGCGUGCGCAGGCGGUGAUGUAAGACAGAUGUGAAAUCCCCGGGCUCAACCUGGGAACUGCAUUUGAGACUGCAUCGCUGGAGUGCGGCAGAGGGGGAUGGAAUUCCGCGUGUAGCAGUGAAAUGCGUAGAUAUGCGGAGGAACACCGAUGGCGAAGGCAAUCCCCUGGGCCUGCACUGACGCUCAUGCACGAAAGCGUGGGGAGCAAACAGG